This is an RNA transcript of Chrysemys picta bellii (western painted turtle), 5642 nucleotides long. It is a transcript of the gene named arylsulfatase family member J, with no coding region annotated. Lineage: Eukaryota; Metazoa; Chordata; Testudines; Emydidae. The record is from RefSeq and is a predicted model, not a curated record.
UUAACAAGAAUUUGAAAAACUGCUGCACACACACAUUUUAAAACAACAAAAGAGUUGCUGAUACUUUUAUGAACAGUAUUCUACAAACAUUUUGCCUCAAUUGCACCAAAAUUAAAGAGGCUUGUGCCUGACAAAUUCUGCACAUUCAUAUUUUCCAGCUUUGGUGGUAAUUUCAGAAAUAUUGCAAACGAUAUUUUUGCGAAGAGAAAAUGACUGAGAAACUUCUGCAACUGAGAAGGUGGGAUGAAAGAAAAACCCAUCCGCUGGGAGCCAUGGAAUUGGCCUCGGGCUUGUUUUAAGAAAGGGAAGGAAAAAUCAAAACAAACGGUGCCUGGCUGCCAGGAAUGCACUGCCUGAGCUUUGGCACCGGCGACGCCUGAGAAGCGCACCGAGCAGUAAAGUGGCAAGGAGCUGGGCCUGGGGCUCCUUAGUCUGGAUCUCCAGCAGCCGGGGCCCGUCGGGGGAAGAGUUUCAGGCCCUGGGUGGCUUUUUUUCCAUAGCUGCGCAGCUGGAGCCUGGAAGGAGUCUGCCGCCAUCCGAGAAGAGAGGCAAAGGGAGAGUGAGGUACCAGCGAUGAACGAAUGAUCCAGGUGGCCACAAAGCCAACAUCUACCUGUUCUUACUAAUGUGUGUCUACUUAUGGAGAGUUGUUGAAGUUGUGUGUGACAGCUGCCCUUCGUUCAAGAUAAAGGUGGGGAGACUGAGGUACAGAAUUGCCUAUGGUCACACAAGAAGACUGGAAGAGCUGUGAAUAGAAUGCCAGAGUCCAGACUCCCAUUCAGAAGACCCUCCUCCUCUUGCAAAAGAGACAGCUACAUAAAUAAAUAAGAAGAGAUCACUUUCCUGCUGAUGAAGUCAGAAGAGCAAGAAAAUAGGGGGAAAGGAAAAAUUGAAGGAGAAAGAAAAUGUAGGAAGACAUGGAAGAGAAAAGGGUGCAGGGGAACAAACUCAGCAGAAAGGAAAUAGGCAGUGCUGCUGUGGGAACCCUCCAUUAAACAAAGAAUAACAAAGAAGAGACUCAGGUUCUGCUAGAUACAUCUUGCCACAGACUUUAAGAGGAAAGAUUUUUAAUUGCUCCUAUGGGAUGUCUAUGAAGAACCAGCAACAGUGCACAAAAGCAACAGGGGAAACUCUUUAGACACAAAUCAAUGUCAAAUGCACAAUGCAAGAGAACCUCAGGAUUUUACUGUUUUUUAUCCAUGAUUUGGCAACCCAAAGCUGCUUCAUCAUCAUGGCAAAUCUCAAAGUGACGUGGCCUCCUUGCAGACUGAGCGCCACCUGGAUCCAUUGCUGACUAUGUCCGUAAGAUAGUCUGGCAGGAUAUUCAGUUUCUUACCAUCACUGGCAAUCUUAUUGUGCCACCAAAGCUUUAGCACCAUGUGAUCGCCAGCCAUGUACAAGCAUCGUUGGUACACAUGCUUCAGAAUCUGUUGGUCUUCCAGUAAUACAACCAUACCAAGAAAACUGCCAAAACCAAACCAGUGCUGAUGGAGGUGAUUGCCUGGUUCAGCUUUGAAUAUUACCUGCUUUUCGAGGAAAAUGGGUUUAGCUAUUUCAGUUAAUAUUUGAAUGUUCCAUACACUAAUUCUACAUUUGCCACCAAUGCACAAGAUACUGGAAAUGCCCUUUUGCAAGGUUUCACUGGUCAUUUUUUGCCUCAGCAGCAGAGAAACUUGUGGCCAUUCUAACUACAAGGACAACUGACCAGAUUGUUGCAGACGGUCAGCUUCAGCAUAGAUACCAUGAUGUGAAAAUACUGACCUUUGAGGGACAAAGUUCUUGGUGAACAAUAUAUACAAUUUCCCCAAAGUAUUGGUGUCUGUUACUGUUUUCUCUAGAGUUUAUGUUCUUCAAUCCAUGUGCUCAGGUCAGUUUUUAAAUCCAUUAACACCCCAUCUACAGAUUUCUGAGAUCUGAGCAGGGUUCAAAAUUUCCAAGGGAUUGGAAGGAUCCAAACUACAAUCUGUGGGCCAGUUUUUCAAAAAAUAAAGCAUUUGCACAUGUAACUGUGUAAUCUGAAUGCUCACUUAUCUGUUUGUGACAUCACAUUUAUAUUUAGUGAGCACAGUUUAAGGAAUUUUAAUUUGGCCCUAUGGAUCCUGGGAUUUCAUAAAUGAAGAAGGAGACAUUUGGCAAGGUGAUGACUUCAGGACUGACUGAAGUUGUGAUGGAUGAGUCCAUAAGGUAGUUUUAUUUUGUUAAUCUUUUCUCCUUUUGGGCUAUGUAGGCUGGAAAGGAGUAAUCAUAAAUGCAAAAAGCAGUCAGAUAUAGAUUAGUUCAAUGAAAACACUGAAAAGCAUGUUUUUCAUCAGGAUCUCAUUGAGGAAAGAUCUUUUCCACUUGCAUUCUAGCUUUGCCUGAGUAAUUUUGAAAAUUGAAAGCAAAUUCCCCACUUGUCUGAACUUCCAUGAUUUACUGGGUUGAAGUCAGCAGACUGGAUUGCCUUUCUCGGUACUCAUAUCAGCUUGAAAAUGGAAUCCUGAGUAUUAGGUAGCAUAUUUCCAGAUCCUCGCAUACUGGGAGAGUGGGCUGCUCCACACUGGGAUUGAUGCCAAGUGAAGGUAAAAGCAGGAUGAAUCAAACAAGUCUUGCUGAUCUUAAACUGGCAUAUGCUGAUGAAAAGCAAAGAAAAGGCUUUGCUAUAGUGAAGCCUGUAGCUGGCAUCAUACUCUUUGGUACAUAUAUAUGCCAACAUUUAGUUCUGUGAAGAGUAGCCAAAUGCAACUGAGAAAAAAAAUCGAACCAAAACAAUAGACUUGCAAGAAUUUAUGGUUGGUUAACUCUAUCUGUCAUUGUAAUGUUUCUAUAUUUAUAGAUAAAAUGCAUAAUUGCUGUCACAUGCAUAAUGUACAAUAGGUAUGAAAUAUUCAAUAUGUCUAUUCUUUCUUGGAGUAUGAAUUACUUUGUAUUUCAUCAUGAUAGAAAAUUGCUCACUUGAACCAAAGCUUGCACACUAUUAAGGAGCUGAUAGUUUACUUCAACAAGCUUCUGCUGUCUUUCAUUACUUUGGCAAUCACUGCCAGUCACAGUUAAAGUUCGCAAACCCAGCACUCAGAUCUUGAAAGUUCCAAGAAAGAGAGAAGAUCCGUGCCCAAAGGUGAGAAGUGCCUUUAAUUUUGUAUAUUCUCUUUUGGAGCAAACAGGUUCAAAGUAGAAUGGUGCCACUUUUUUCAUAAAUAACAGCCUGAUUUAAAGAUUCUUCCUCUUGUAAAUUGUAGUACUGUAUUUUCAAAAGGUGUUUGCAACACUUUCCUUUCCUAGAACCUGAAAAGCCAGGAAUGCCAAACUCUCCCAACAUAGAAAGGAAAAGCAGGCCCAAAUUAGUAUUAAGUGGAUACAGCAUCUCUGAAAUGGGGUAACUAAUUCUGGCAACCAUGAGACCUUUGAGACAAAAAUAUACUCUCACAGGCUGUGGGUGCUUUCAUCUGAUCCCUCAGAAACUCUACUCAUUGGAUGGCUUUUGAGCUUGUCAGACUGCAAAAUGAGCACAUGCAAUCUUGACCUGUAGAGGCUAAUGCUAGAGAUGAGUGGUACAUCUGUCAUUAUGUCCAUUGAUUUCUCAACCUCUGCACAGGCUGCCAACAAAAAUGCCAUGGAACUGAGCUAACCCCACAACUAAGAUGGGCCAUAACUGAAGAGUAACCUAGAGGGGAAAGGCGCUGUACUGCAUUGUUCAUCCCCUAAGAUACCCAGUUUCCUAAAUACAACAAAAACAAUAAUAGGAUAAAUAUAGAAAUUGCUGGUCAUGUAAAUUGCUUUUUCUGUAACUGGUCUCUUUUGUCAAGUUAGCCUCUGUGUGAAAGCUGUCUGGAAAGCUAAGCCACAAAAUUCCAGUUUUGGAGUUGGUAAAAGCAUGUUUCUAAAUUCACCUACAUCCCAAGCAAUAAGCACAUGCUAAACACAGUGGUUAUAAGUAAGUGCUAGUUCUUAUAUAGUGUUUUUUCAUCAGUAGAUCUCAAAGCACUUCACACUCUCCCAUAAAAAAGAUCAGAAUAUUGAUUCCCAUUUUAUAAAUGGGGAAACGGAGGCACAGGGUAGUAAAGUGACUUGCUCAACAUCUCCUAGUAGCAUAGUUAGGACCAGAACCCAGGUCUCACGAACACCAGUUAGGUGCACUAGUCAGUAGGCCACACGCAGUAGGAUGUCAUUUGACGAAAGUCACCAUUUUGAUCCGUAAAUUGCUCAGUAAUGACAGAGUUUUAAAAAAUCAUUGCAUUAAUUCUUGGUACUGUAUACUACUAGAGAGGGUAAAUAGUGCUGUACACAUAUCUGAUUUAUACAGUGGUCACCAAUAAAACUCUGCAUUUACCAAGAGUUUUCAUACUACAGCAUUAGAUAUACAGUGGCAUCUGAGAUAAUAUACUGCAGUAACUGCUGGAAAAUACUGAUUUUUAAUGCUAAUGUCUGCAUGAUAUUUUUUCAAAUAAAAUAAGGAGAUUUUCUGUAGCAUUGAUUUUGUAGGGAGCUUAAGAAAGCAUUUAUCAAGUCUUUUUUUCAAGUAAUUUCAUUUGAAAUUGGGAUGCAUAAAACAUUUCCAUUAUUCUUCUCAAAGAUUUUUGUCCCAGUGAACUGGUUCAGAUACUUUUUAAUUAAACUCAAAAUAUCAGUAUUUUAUCUGUUGAUUUCCAGACAGUGAAUAAAAAAUGUUUUUCUAUUGCUUUGAAUACGGUGGAGAAGACAUAAGUAAUUUAUAAGCCCUGAAGGUAUUUGCUUUCUGAAAAUGUGAAGCUUGUCAGAAGGUAAGCUCUCUGGAAACAGUGCUUUGCAAAUGAGAUGAAAAUUGAGCUUAUCAUCAUUCUUCCCUUCUCUCACUGUCAGUACACCAUCUGCCAUGCUCCCUGAUUUCAUUCUUGCAUUCCUUCUCCAUUUACAUCCAGGUGCUCACCAAGUGUUGCUGCUUCUUCUUCCAUAAUAAGGCAGCCCCCCUUCUCUAUCCCCACUGUCAAAAGACUAGCCCAUGAUCUAGUUAUUUCUAGAACCUCCUGCUUUCUGGCCUAUCCUUCUCUUCUAUCUCCCGUUCCUUCUAUCAAUAAUACUGACAUCAAGAUUAAUCCCUUUCCUACCAUUCUGAUCAUGUCCCCCAACUUCUUGAAUCUCAGCACUGGCUUACCCUCUACUUCCACAUAAAGUUCAAACUUUUUCUCAUUCAAAACUAAAUAACCUCACUAUCAUUUACUCUGACCACAUCUCCUCCUAUCAACACUUUCUGAUUCCCAGUGUUUCUUUCCUGACUGCAUCCUUCUUCAUCCAUGCAGGUUUCAUGCUGCCCUAUAUGCCUAUAAUAGCUUUCCAUGUACUUCAAGUCCCUUACAUCUUCUGCAUCAGAAAGAAUACGUCUGUUAGUCUAUAAGGUGCCACAGGACUCUUUGUUACUUUUUAUAGAGAAAUCUUUGGUGAUCUUAAACACAAAAAGGAAGCUUAUAAGAAGUGGAAACUUGGACAGAUGACUAGGGAGGAGUAUAAAAAUAUUGCUUGAGCAUGCAGGGGUGUAAUCAGGAAGGCCAAAGCACAAUUGGAGUUGCAACUAGCAAUGGAUGUGAAGGAUGACAAGAAGGUUUUUUACAGGUAUGUUAACAACAAGAAGGUGGUCAGGGAAAGUGUGGGACCCUUAUUGAAUGGGGGAGGCAACCUAGUGACAGAUG